AGAGUUUGAUCCUGGCUCAGAACGAAUGCUGGCGGCGUGCCUAAGACAUGCAAGUCGUGCGAGAAAAGGGCUUCGGCCCCUAGUACAGCGGCGCACGGGUGAGUAACGCGUGGGUAACCUACCUCGAAGUCUGGAAUAACUCGGGGAAACCUGAGCUAAUACCGGAUGAGCCCACGAGGCCCUCGGGUCAUGUGGGAAAAGAUGGCCUCUGCUUGCAAGCUAUCGCUACGAGAUGAGCCCGCGUCCCAUUAGCUAGUUGGCGAGGUAACGGCUCACCAAGGCGACGAUGGGUAGCUGGUCUGAGAGGACGAUCAGCCACACUGGAACUGAGACACGGUCCAGACUCCUACGGGAGGCAGCAGUCGGGAAUAUUGGGCAAUGGGCGCAAGCCUGACCCAGCGACGCCGCGUGAGGGAUGAAGGCCUUCGGGUCGUAAACCUCUGUCGGGAGGGAAGAACGGCGGUGGGAUGAACAAUUUCACUGUCUGACGGUACCUCCAAAGGAAGCGCCGGCUAACUCCGUGCCAGCAGCCGCGGUAAUACGGAGGGCGCAAGCGUUGUUCGGAAUCACUGGGCGUAAAGCGCGUGUAGGCGGCCGGGCAAGUCGGAUGUGAAAUCCCGAGGCUCAACCUCGGAACUGCACUCGAAACUGCUCGGCUCGAGUCCCGGAGAGGAUGGCGGAAUUCCCGGUGUAGGGGUGAAAUCCGUAGAUAUCGGGAGGAACACCAGUGGCGAAGGCGGCCAUCUGGACGGUGACUGACGCUGAGACGCGAAAGCGUGGGGGGGCAAACAGGAUUAGAU
This 800-nucleotide ribosomal RNA is filed under the name uncultured bacterium. Its description in RNAcentral is "bacterial SSU rRNA". It matches the Rfam family "Bacterial small subunit ribosomal RNA", at positions 8 to 783 of the family's 1533-position model. The record is from RNAcentral.